UUGACUAUAGCAUAAAUUAAUGUUUUAUUUUUACAAAAUAAAGAUAUCUCUCCAGAUUAGUUAAU
Molecule: transfer RNA, 65 nt
Filed under: Ciona savignyi (Pacific transparent sea squirt)
Lineage: Eukaryota; Metazoa; Chordata; Ascidiacea; Phlebobranchia; Cionidae
Description: tRNA (ENSCSAVG00000012513.1)
Source: RNAcentral